GACGUAGGGCGCGAGCGUUGUCCGGAUUUAUUGGGCGUAAAGAGCUCGUAGGCGGCUUGUCGCGUCGGCUGUGAAAACCCGGGGCUCAACUCCGGGCCUGCAUUCGAUACGGGCAGACUAGAGUUCGGUAGGGGAGACUGGAAUUCCUGGUGUAGCGGUGAAAUGCGCAGAUAUCAGGAGGAACACCGGUGGCGAAGGCGGGUCUCUGGGCCGAUACUGACGCUGAGGAGCGAAAGCGUGGGGAGCGAACAGG
This 253-nucleotide ribosomal RNA is filed under the name uncultured bacterium. RNAcentral describes it as "partial 16S ribosomal RNA". It matches the Rfam family "Bacterial small subunit ribosomal RNA", at positions 524 to 776 of the family's 1533-position model. The record is from RNAcentral.